CCUACGGGUGGCAGCAGUGGGGGAUAUUGCACAAUGGGGGAAACCCUGAUGCAGCGACGCCGCGUGUGGGAAGACGGUCCUCUGGAUUGUAAACCACUUUCCCCAGGGACGAAGAUGACGGUACCUUGGGAGGACGCUCCUGCUAACUACGUACCCGCAGCCGCAGUCCUACGUAGGGAGCGAGCUUUUUCCGGAAUUACUGGGUGUAAAGGGAGCGUAGGCGGGGAUGCAAGUUGGGUGUCAAAACUACCGGCUCAACUGGUAGUCGCACUCAAAACUGCAGCUCUUGAGUGAAGUAGAGGCAGGCGGAAUGCGUAGUGUAGCGGUGAAAUGCGUAGAUAUUAGGAGGAACACCAGUGGCGAAGGCGGCCUGCUGGGCUUUUACUGACGCUGAGGCUCGAAAGUGUGGGGAGCAAACAGGAUUAGAUACCCCAGUAGUC
This 440-nucleotide ribosomal RNA is filed under the name uncultured bacterium. RNAcentral's name for it is "partial 16S ribosomal RNA". It matches the Rfam family "Bacterial small subunit ribosomal RNA", at positions 338 to 795 of the family's 1533-position model. The record is from RNAcentral.